UAUUGGGCGUAAAGCGCGUCUAGGUGGUUAUGUAAGUCUGAUGUGAAAAUGCAGGGCUCAACUCUGUAUUGCGUUGGAAACUGCAUGACUAGAGUACUGGAGAGGUAAGCGGAACUACAAGUGUAGAGGUGAAAUUCGUAGAUAUUUGUAGGAAUGCCGAUGGGGAAGCCAGCUUACUGGACAGAUACUGACGCUAAAGCGCGAAAGCGUGGGUAGCAAACAGGAUUAGAUACCCUGGUAGUCCACGCCGUAAACGAUGAUUACUAGGUGUUGGGGGUCGAACCUCAGCGCCCAAGCUAACGCGAUAAGUAAUCCGCCUGGGGAGUACGUACGCAAGUAUGAAACUCAAAGGAAUUGACGGGGACCCGCACAAGCGGUGGAGCAUGUGGUUUAAUUCGACGCAACGCGAGGAACCUUACCAGCGUUUGACAUCUUAGGAAUGAGACAGAGAUGUUUCAGUGUCCCUUCGGGGAAACCUAAAGACAGGUGGUGCAUGGCUGUCGUCAGCUCGUGUCGUGAG
Molecule: ribosomal RNA, 520 nt
Filed under: uncultured bacterium
Lineage: Bacteria
Description: bacterial SSU rRNA
Rfam family: Bacterial small subunit ribosomal RNA
Source: RNAcentral